AGAGCUCGUAGGCGGUUUGUCGCGUCUGUCGUGAAAGUCCGGGGCUUAACCCCGGAUCUGCGGUGGGUACGGGCAGACUAGAGUGCAGUAGGGGAGACUGGAAUUCCUGGUGUAGCGGUGGAAUGCGCAGAUAUCAGGAGGAACACCGAUGGCGAAGGCAGGUCUCUGGGCUGUAACUGACGCUCAGGAGCGAAAGCAUGGGGAGCGAACAGGAUUAGAUACCCUGGUAGUCCAUGCCGUAAACGUUGGGCACUAGGUGUGGGGACCAUUCCACGGUUUCCGCGCCGCAGCUAACGCAUUAAGUGCCCCGCCUGGGGAGUACGGCCGCAAGGCUAAAACUCAAAGGAAUUGACGGGGGCCCGCACAAGCGGCGGAGCAUGCGGAUUAAUUCGAUGCAACGCGAAGAACCUUACCAAGGCUUGACAUGUUCUCGAUCGCCGUAGAGAUACGGUUUCCCCUUUGGGGCGGGUUCACAGGUGGUGCAUGGUUGUGCUCCCUUGGGGC
This 504-nucleotide ribosomal RNA is filed under the name Micrococcus sp. Its description in RNAcentral is "bacterial SSU rRNA". It matches the Rfam family "Bacterial small subunit ribosomal RNA", at positions 564 to 1065 of the family's 1533-position model. The record is from RNAcentral. Lineage: Bacteria; Bacillati; Actinomycetota; Actinomycetes; Micrococcales; Micrococcaceae.